AUGCUAUUGCUGUGUGUUCUCCUGUGUCUGGUGACAGUUCCCCAAGGCGUCCUGUCCCAGGUGCAGCUUCAGGAGUCAGGCCCAGGAUUGGUGAAACCCUCCCAGACGCUUUCUCUCACCUGCACCGUCUCUAGUUUCUCCAUCACAAGCAGUGGUUACUAUUGGAACUGGAUCCGCCAGACCUCGGGGAAGGGGCUGCAGUGGAUGGGAUACAUAGGUUACGAUGGUGGUACAUAUUAUAACCCGUCCUUCCAAAGCCGACUCUCCAUCACCAGAGACACAUCGAAGAAUCAGUUCUCCCUGCAGCUGAGCUCCGUGACUGCUGAGGACACGGCCGUGUAUUACUGUGCAAGGAGCACAAUGUAUGAAAAGGUUCAGGUUGACCUGGUCUUGAUUCCAAACAUGGUGAGGAUAGAGAUGGUCUUUAAUUUCAAUAGAUCAUUUGGGUACUUUUGA
This is a non-coding RNA of Echinops telfairi (small Madagascar hedgehog), 456 nucleotides long. NCBI's taxonomy places the organism in Eukaryota, Metazoa, Chordata, Mammalia, Afrosoricida, Tenrecidae. The record is from the annotation of a RefSeq genome assembly.